Molecule: long non-coding RNA, 201 nt
Organism: Carassius auratus (goldfish)
Lineage: Eukaryota; Metazoa; Chordata; Actinopteri; Cypriniformes; Cyprinidae
Exons: 3
Source: RefSeq, a predicted model, not a curated record
GUCUGGAGGACCAGCUGGCUAAAGGGCUGAAGUUGACGUUUGAUUCCUCCUUCUCUCCGAACACUGGCAAGAAGAGCCGAAAGAUCAAGAGCAGCUUCCAGCAUGAGCACAUCAACCUGGGCUGUGACGUGGACUACGACAUCAAUGGCACCGCGGUGCACGGAGCCGUGGUCGUGGGCUUCGAGGGCUGGCUGGCCGGAU